GUGUGCAAAAGCGGGAGAGAGAGAGAGAGAGAGAGAGAGAGAUAGAGAUAUGGCACGUGACACGUGGCUCAAAAUGCACACAAACCCACAUGUACUCUCUCUCUCUCUCUCUCUCUCGCGCUCUCUUAUACACGCGAAAU
This 140-nucleotide microRNA precursor is filed under the name Drosophila guanche. The record is from RNAcentral. Lineage: Eukaryota; Metazoa; Arthropoda; Insecta; Diptera; Drosophilidae.